AGCUACGGCCAUACGUUCAUGAAAAUACCCGCUCUCGUCCGAUCGCGGAAGUCAAGCAUGAAACGGUCCAGUCAGUACUGCGGUGGGAGACCACGCGGGAAUACUGGAUGUUGUAGUUU
This 119-nucleotide ribosomal RNA is filed under the name Flectobacillus sp. The record is from RNAcentral. Lineage: Bacteria; Pseudomonadati; Bacteroidota; Cytophagia; Cytophagales; Flectobacillaceae.